Long non-coding RNA from Solanum stenotomum, 251 nucleotides. RefSeq lists it as uncharacterized. The record is from RefSeq and is a predicted model, not a curated record. The transcript has 2 exons. Lineage: Eukaryota; Viridiplantae; Streptophyta; Magnoliopsida; Solanales; Solanaceae.
UUGAUCGAGGGCAGCAUAAACAGAAUCCACCAUUGCAUCAAAUAAGUUCCUAUAUUGAUACGAACCGUCUUGUACCACCACAUUAGGUGCUGUAAAAAGAGCAUAGGGAAGUGAAAUCUGUCCUGGAUUACCAGAAUAACUAAAAUAAGGAUAAAUGUUAACGAGCAAAGGUGCACGCGUAUCCCUCAAAAAUCCAACAAUCGGAUCAGUGAACCAUCUCACAUCGUUCCUAAAAGAACCCUGUGAUGGUG